Molecule: long non-coding RNA, 696 nt
Organism: Ornithorhynchus anatinus (platypus)
Lineage: Eukaryota; Metazoa; Chordata; Mammalia; Monotremata; Ornithorhynchidae
Exons: 2
Source: RefSeq, a predicted model, not a curated record
GGCAUGAUCACCUGACCGGAAUACGGCAAAAUGAGUAGGAAGUGGUAGAUGAUUGUGAAGAAACUGUAAAACUAGGGCAGGUGGUAAAAGUAGGAGAUUUCAAUUAUCCACACUGAGACUCGAUGAAUAACUCAUCAGGAAGAGACAGGAGGUACCUCUCAUUUCCUGUUCCAGCUCCCGGGUAAAAGCAACUGGAGAAAAGCUGCCACUUUGUCCCCCUGCUGCCUGCCUGCCUCCAAAAGAAGCCCGGCACCUCUCUGCCCUGGGAGGGCACUUUCCCUCCUGUGUCCUUGCAGCUUGGGGCAGAUUCUGCUGGGAGCGGAGUACACAGUGCAGAGCGUGGAUUCAGCCAGGGGGUUUCAGGACAGUAACUUGUCACUUGGAGUUAAAUUCCUGGUCCAGGGCCCUCCAUUCCAUGAGUCCUUACUGGCUUGAAGGAGCUACUUCACACCUGCAAACGGGCCUAUGUUAUGUCCCCCACAAGCCUUCCCUCCUGCCCAGGAAGUGUUGAUUUGGCUUUUCUGGUCACUUCUGGGACACGCCUAUGUCUAGGAUACAAACACAGAGACACACACAGAAGGAGGGAGGAAUUUGGUCGAGCAGAAUCUGAUGGCAUUUAGCAACCAAGAACAUGGUUUGAAGUCUCGGUUCUCAUCCAUUCGGUACGUUAACAAAGCUUAGCCAUGGCCAUUUGAA